This 333-nucleotide ribosomal RNA is filed under the name Enterococcus casseliflavus. RNAcentral describes it as "bacterial SSU rRNA". It matches the Rfam family "Bacterial small subunit ribosomal RNA", at positions 96 to 424 of the family's 1533-position model. Lineage: Bacteria; Bacillati; Bacillota; Bacilli; Lactobacillales; Enterococcaceae. The record is from RNAcentral.
UGGCGAACGGGUGAGUAACACGUGGGUAACCUGCCCAUCAGAAGGGGAUAACACUUGGAAACAGGUGCUAAUACCGUAUAACACUAUUUUCCGCAUGGAAGAAAGUUGAAAGGCGCUUUUGCGUCACUGAUGGAUGGACCCGCGGUGCAUUAGCUAGUUGGUGAGGUAACGGCUCACCAAGGCAACGAUGCAUAGCCGACCUGAGAGGGUGAUCGGCCACACUGGGACUGAGACACGGCCCAGACUCCUACGGGAGGCAGCAGUAGGGAAUCUUCGGCAAUGGACGAAAGUCUGACCGAGCAACGCCGCGUGAGUGAAGAAGGUUUUCGGAUC